CUCCUCCGUCGACGCUCCUACGAAUUUCAAAAAAUUUGCUUCACUAGAUUUUUCAGACCAUUUUUUUUCUCACGACUAUCGAAUCAUCACUUUUUUUCUAACGUUUUUCUAACCGGGAGGAAAGAAACAGAAACCUCCUUAAAAUCGUUUCAAAUCUUUCAAUGACGAAAAACUCGCACAGAUUCGGUGUAUUAAACAUCUACGGACACAAAAAAUCACUCGGCUAAGAAAACAAAAAGGUAAGCGAGUGUAAAGAAACGUAGAAUAAUGUAAUCUUCUAUUCUGGGAAUGUGUGUAAUGUUAUCUCAAAAUCAGUUGAGAUUCAGAAGUGGAUGGUACGAUUUCUUAUAAACGAUCGUAGUCAAUCGUCGAUUGUCAGAUAUAUUUAUUUCAGUUACAAUGCACGCUUUUUCUAAUCGUCCAUUCGAAGAGACGAUUUCGUCAAGUUUUCUCGGAUAAAAUCGACGUCGUGGGUCUUGGAAAAUGAAAACACAAAUUUUUUCAAAGCGUCGAUUGUAACGGUUAUUGAAAAUGUAUGCUGUCAACAUCUGAGAAAACACUGACUCUUUUCCAAUGUUCUACCACGGAUGUUCGGUAAAUCAUAGAGCACUUACUGAGCAUUGUCGUUUCGUCGUACAACAAUUAACUGGAUAAUAAUUGUUGAUCAAAGUGUGGAUGUGUAUUUCGAAUCCGUGCGCGUGGCGCGUGUUUAGGUGAGCGAUGUCGAUCCUACGUCAAUCGAUAGCGCACUGAAUGUGUCAUGAGUCGUUGAGAGAAAAUCGGCUUACGAAAGGACAAAACUGACGCUUCAGUCGACGUGAAUACGACUACAUAAUCAUUCGUUAUUUACUACAAAGUACGAUUAUAUUGAGAGUCGAAGUAGCGGCGCUAUACAACUAUAGAAAUUUUCAGGUGGCUACGAACUGUACGUCCGAGCCGUCCUCUACAAGCGCGAUGUUUACACACCGCGCAUAUGUAUGAAAAUAACACGACCACGUUCGAAAAAUUCCUGGAAAAUGAUCUCCAACGGUCGCCGGUAUACACGGAAUUCAGUAGUUCCAGUGAAUUUUUUCAUAAUUGACAUUUUUAUAAAUUGAAACGACACCGCUCCGCGAUAAGUGCCGAAUAAUGUGUAUAUUCGUCCAUAAAAGGGAUCGAGAUAGAAAAUCGCCUAGUAAAAGUGCCUAUAAAUAUGGAUAAUUCGUUUUGACCCCAUGAGCUGAGCGAUGAAGAAGACGCGGAAGUUGAAACGAAAGUCGAAUACCCAGUUUCAAACGCAUGUGUUUGUCGUUUAGGAAUAUACACGCACGCGUAUAUCAAACAUGUGAAAACUCCGAUGACGGAACGUGAUUGUUGGGAAUGCAACAAAAUUUCCCCAUUUUGUCGACGAGCUUUUGGUGGCUUAAAAAUAAAACCUGUAAAAAAAAUGGGGGCGUCCCAAAGGUGACAAAAGAGAGGAACAGUGAAAAUAAUAUUCGCGUUGGAUUACAUCGUUGCAAACACAAAUUCCAUUAAACUUUUACAGGACGAAAGUUAAGUCAGUUUCCAUUUAUAUAUGUGGAACGAUCAUGGACGACAUUUCGUCAGUCACCGUAACUGCUUCGACGCUUUGUACAUUCGACGUAGUUUGUUUUCGAAGAAAUUUACAGUACAAAUUCCAAAGUAUGCUACCGCGAUGAAAAAUAUUUGACUAAUACGCGCACCAUUGUUUGAGUGAAAAAUAUGAUUUUCUCUCUUAUCGUAAAUCGAACAAACGAUCGAAUUGAAACUUUGAUUUGUACAUAUGAAUAAAUAAGCGAAUAAAUUGACCAAUUUUUCCCUGAAUAUAGAUCGCUCAGGCACACUUUUUCCGUUUCAACAUUUCGUAAUCGGGUCAUCGGAUUUGAGCUCUAAUUGAUUUGUACAUCGAGAAUGACGUAUAAGCCCGAUAAAUGACAAACAACUGAUUAACUCAGAAUUUCACGAUAAUUCUGACCUGGAAAAACCUCUCUUUGAAUUUUCGGACAUCAUUUAUCUACAUCGUUCAAAGUGUUGGGGCGAUGGAGCUACCGAGAUUUGGAAAAUGUAACUGCACUGCGAAUAGAAUUCCAUUUUACGAUCUUUUUUUUUCAUACAACACACGUUGAGACCCAACCGCGCAUUUGUUAUCUUUUCCAAGGGUCAGACAUUUUUCAAAUAACGAAACCACUUUCUUGAGCGCACAAGAUUUUUUUUUGUCAACCUGCUUCACGCGACCAAUGUCAACAUUUUAGUGUGAAUAAUAUCCCCCAACGUUUUGGCAGCACUGUCGAACUAAACAGGUUAUGUUGCGGAAAACCGAACGUACCGCGAUCGAUCCAAUAUAUGAUAAUGUACAUCCAUCGAUCAACUUUACAGUUCCCAAUCAAUCAUGUAAUAUUUUAGUAUGUCAAAAAAAAUCUUCAUGUUAUAUCGCAGCGCUCCGUUCUCUUUGUUUCGGACCGAAAGCGAGAGCGCUCAAUCACGUGUCAACGCGGUCGAUCUAUCGCCGGAGCCUCGUCCCAAAACAAACGGACAAGUCUACAUAUAGAAUGGGCUCGGAACGAUUUGGCCGUUCGUCGACCUCACUUGUGGUA
Molecule: long non-coding RNA, 2594 nt
Organism: Venturia canescens
Lineage: Eukaryota; Metazoa; Arthropoda; Insecta; Hymenoptera; Ichneumonidae
Exons: 5
Source: RefSeq, a predicted model, not a curated record